AUCGCUUCUCGGCCUUUUGGCUAAGAUCAAAGUGUAGUAUCUGUUCUUAUUUUUCUAUUUGUCUACUUAAUUUUGUACGAGAUGCUUUUAUCGCAGAAUUGUACGUUUACUAAUCACCACACAUACUCCUAGGGUUGCUGGGCACCCCUGGGCGACCGGUAAGCCUA
RNAcentral lists this small nuclear RNA (167 nucleotides) under Cimex lectularius (bed bug). RNAcentral's name for it is "U2 spliceosomal RNA". It matches the Rfam family "U2 spliceosomal RNA". Rfam says of the family: U2 is a small nuclear RNA (snRNA) component of the spliceosome (involved in pre-mRNA splicing). Lineage: Eukaryota; Metazoa; Arthropoda; Insecta; Hemiptera; Cimicidae. The record is from Rfam by way of RNAcentral.